This 468-nucleotide ribosomal RNA is filed under the name uncultured bacterium. RNAcentral describes it as "partial 16S ribosomal RNA". The stretch from base 56 to 468 matches the Rfam family "Bacterial small subunit ribosomal RNA", at positions 37 to 507 of the family's 1533-position model. The record is from RNAcentral.
GGGGGGGGGGGGGGGGGGGGGGGGGGGGGGGGGGUCGGGCGGAGGGGGCCGGCUGUGGGGGGGUGCUCGAGUGGCGAACGGGUGAGUAACACGUGAGUAACCUGCCCUUGACUUUGGGAUAACUUCAGGAAACUGGGGCUAAUACCGGAUAGGAGCUCCUGCUGCAUGGUGGGGGUUGGAAAGUUUCGGCGGUUGGGGAUGGACUCGCGGCUUAUCAGCUUGUUGGUGGGGUAGUGGCUUACCAAGGCUUUGACGGGUAGCCGGCCUGAGAGGGUGACCGGCCACAUUGGGACUGAGAUACGGCCCAGACUCCUACGGGAGGCAGCAGUGGGGAAUAUUGCACAAUGGGCGGAAGCCUGAUGCAGCAACGCCGCGUGCGGGAUGACGGCCUUCGGGUUGUAAACCGCUUUCGCCUGUGACGAAGCGUGAGUGACGGUAAUGGGUAAAGAAGCACCGGCUAACUACGUG